CGCAUACUCCCAACCCAAUGUGAACGUUACCAAACUGUUGCCUCGGCGGGGUCACGCCCCGGGUGCGUCGCAGCCCCGGAACCAGGCGCCCGCCGGAGGAACCAACCAAACUCUUUCUGUAGUCCCCUCGCGGACGUAUUUCUUUACAGCUCUGAGCAAAAAUUCAAAAUGAAUCAAAACUUUCAACAACGGAUCUCUUGGUUCUGGCAUCGAUGAAGAACGCAGCGAAAUGCGAUAAGUAAUGUGAAUUGCAGAAUUCAGUGAAUCAUCGAAUCUUUGAACGCACAUUGCGCCCGCCAGUAUUCUGGCGGGCAUGCCUGUCCGAGCGUCAUUUCAACCCUCGAACCCCUCCGGGGGAUCGGCGUUGGGGAUCGGGACCCCUCACACGGGUGCCGGCCCCUAAAUACAGUGGCGGUCUCGCCGCAGCCUCUCCUGCGCAGUAGUUUGCACAACUCGCACCGGGAGCGCGGCGCGUCCACSUCCGUAAAACACCCAACUUUCUGAAAUGUUGACCUCSGAUCAGGKAGGAAUACCCCGCUGAACUUWAGCAUAWYAAUAAGCGGGAAGAAAA
Molecule: ribosomal RNA, 571 nt
Filed under: Trichoderma sp. PPRI 14667
Lineage: Eukaryota; Fungi; Ascomycota; Sordariomycetes; Hypocreales; Hypocreaceae
Description: eukaryotic LSU rRNA
Source: RNAcentral